CUUGGAGGAUGUAUAGCAAUAGCUACUUGCACCAAUAAAUAAUUGAUGUAAGAUCGACUAUGUUGAAUAAAAUUCUAGGUAGGAUUAUGAUGAUGACAUUGCCUGCCUAUGUGUCUUGACCAAAUUACGUGCCAGCAGUCGCGGUAAUACGUAGAAGACUAGUGUUAUUCAUCUUUAAUAGGUUUAAAGGGUACCUAGACGGUAAAUCAAGCCUUAAGGAGGGACUAAUUUACUAGAGUUACUUGUGAGGGGGUAUUAAAGUACUGCUGGUGUAGAGAUGAAAUUUUUUGAUACCUUUUUUCCUAAAGAAAAAUAAUGGCACAGGUAUAGGCGAAAGCAUCCCCUUAUGUGAUAACUGACGUUGAGGGACGAAGGCUUUGUGUAGCGAACAGGAUUAGAUACCCCAGUAGUCAAAGCAGAAAAUGAUGAAUGUCAUAGAUUAGAUAAAAAUAGUUUACUCUAUAAAUGAAAGUGUAAGCAUUCCACCUCAAGAGUAAUUUGGCAACAUUGGAACUGAAAUCAUUAGACCGUUUCUGAAACCAGUAGUGAAGUAUGUUGUUUAAUUUGAUAGCCCUCAAAAAACCUUACCACAAUUUGAAUAUUAAUAAAAUUUACCUUUUUUAACCUUAUUACUUUUUUUUUUGGACAUAAUAUGCACAAAUUAUAAAAGGAAUUAUAGAUUAAACAGGGUAAAAAUAUUUUUACAAGCGUUGCACGGCUGUUUUUAGUUAAUGUCGCGAGAUUUUGGUUAGUUCCAUUAAAUUAAUGUAAGCCCUUACUUUAUUUUUUAUAUAAAGUUGUUCCCCACUAGAUUGGAUAUGAUAACAGGGACUAAGACAAGUCAUCAUGACCUAAAUAUUGUGGGCUAUAGACGUGCCACAUAAACCUUACAAAAGGAUGUGAAAUUGUGAAAUUGAGCUA
Molecule: ribosomal RNA, 921 nt
Filed under: Haematomma sulphureum
Lineage: Eukaryota; Fungi; Ascomycota; Lecanoromycetes; Lecanorales; Haematommataceae
Description: partial small subunit ribosomal RNA
Rfam family: Bacterial small subunit ribosomal RNA
Source: RNAcentral